AUACGGAGGGAGCUAGCGUUGUUCGGAAUUACUGGGCGUAAAGCGCGCGUAGGCGGCUAUUUAAGUCAGAGGUGAAAGCCCGGGGCUCAACCCCGGAAUUGCCUUUGAGACUGGAUAGCUAGAAUCCUGGAGAGGUGAGUGGAAUUCCGAGUGUAGAGGUGAAAUUCGUAGAUAUUCGGAAGAACACCAGUGGCGAAGGCGGCUCACUGGACAGGUAUUGACGCUGAGGUGCGAAAGCGUGGGGAGC
Molecule: ribosomal RNA, 247 nt
Filed under: uncultured bacterium
Lineage: Bacteria
Description: partial 16S ribosomal RNA
Rfam family: Bacterial small subunit ribosomal RNA
Source: RNAcentral